AGCGAACGCUGGCGGCAGGCCUAACACAUGCAAGUCGAACGAACCUUUCGGGGUUAGUGGCGGACGGGUGAGUAACACGUGGGAACGUGCCUUUAGGUUCGGAAUAACUCAGGGAAACUUGUGCUAAUACCGAAUGUGCCCUUCGGGGGAAAGGUUUAUCGCCUUUAGAGCGGCCGGCGUCUGAUUAGCUAGUUGGUUGAGGUAAUGGCUCACCAAGGCGACGAUCAGUAGCUGGUCUGAGAGGAUGAGCAGCCACCUUGGGGCUGAGACACGGCCCAAACUCUUACGGGAGGCAGCAGUGGGGAAUCUUGCGCAAUGGGCGAAAGCCUGACGCAGCCAUGCCGCGUGAAUGAUGAAGGUCUUAGGAUUGUAAAAUUCUUUCACCGGGGACGAUAAUGACGGUACCCGGAGAAGAAGCCCCGGCUAACUUCGUG
Molecule: ribosomal RNA, 434 nt
Filed under: uncultured bacterium
Lineage: Bacteria
Description: partial 16S ribosomal RNA
Rfam family: Bacterial small subunit ribosomal RNA
Source: RNAcentral